UAUCUUCCUUACCACAAUUUGUUUGUCUUUGCCCUGAGUUUCCUUUGACUCUUCCCAUUCCUUCCCAUUAUAUUUCUACUAUGCUUAUCAAAAGGUUAGUAUCCAUUUUGUUAUUAUUGCAAUUAAGAAAAAACAGUAGUCAGACUUUUAAAAUUAAAGAUAACAAAUUAAAGAUCCUUUCUUUGCUUGUUAGGUACUUGAAUUAAAUGUGCAGUAAGAACCACAAAAUGUAUGUUACAGCUCCUGCAUAGGAUCUCUUGGCACCUCCCAGGAUCUGACUUGACAAUUUUUAUAGUGAUUCAUAAGUGUCUCAUACCAAUCAUGAGUUUUCAAAGAAACACUGGUAAUUAUACUGAAGUUUCUAACACUAACACCUGGAAGCAAAAUCACAGAUCUAUUAAAUCUCAGAUCUAUUAAGUACAUUAUAGAACAUAUAUAUUACCAAUCACUUGUAUGAUAUAAACUUUCCUAAAAACAAUAAGAAUUGGAUGGCACAGAAGUUAUUUUAGUUGAAUUUUCACACAGUAAGAGAUUGCAGAAAGAAGAGAGAACAGCAAAAUAAAAUAUUUUCCAUGGACAUGACACAGAAAGGCUGCACUUAGAAACUCCAGAAUCAGCAGAGGAAUCAUUUGCAUGAUCCCCUGAAGUCCACGACGCUGCCAAAGAGAACAAAUAUGGAGAGAAGAGGGAUGUCUGGCACAAGUCUCAACAGGGAGAAGCUUGUUAAUAAGGUUGUAAAUACUUGGAAACUUGCUGAAUUUGUGGAGUUAGCUGCUAGAAAAGUAUGUUAGCUGUAUUGCUGUAAGGUGAUGUAAAGCCUCCUGACAGAACAAAGAUAUUCCUUUCUUAAACAGUAAGAUAUGAUAGUAGCGUAAUAUUAAAGAAUGUUUAAGAAAAAUAUAUAAAUGAAAAUACUGACAAAAUUAUAGCAGACUCCUCAGUUUCUUCCUAAAGCUUUAACCAGCUUUUCUCUUCAUAGAAAAGCCUUUGGGAUUUCUGAAAAAAAACCAACAAAAAAAACAAAACAACAACAACAACAAAAUAACCUCAUUAUGUAUUUAUGAAAGAAAGCCCCCUCUCUGGAAUAUUCUUCGCAAAUACUCUUCACAUUAGUGCCUGUUGUGUAUAUACUGUUACCCUUUUUGGUUCUUAAAUCACUAUAUACAUUUAGCUUGAUCAUACAUACCACUUUCUAUUUCUUGCAUCUUCUAUUGCUUAUGUGUAACCAUAUAUAAAUAUGGCAACAGA
Long non-coding RNA from Gallus gallus (chicken), 1248 nucleotides. RefSeq lists it as uncharacterized. The transcript is spliced from 3 exons. NCBI's taxonomy places the organism in Eukaryota, Metazoa, Chordata, Aves, Galliformes, Phasianidae. The record is from RefSeq and is a predicted model, not a curated record.